AACCAUGCGCAGACCUCUACAUUGCAAAACACAUUGAGAAAUACAGAAUGACUGGAUAAGAUGAUUCCAUCUCCAUCCUUAUAAAGAGAUGGGUAACUCACGACUGCUCAGCAGAGACGUCCACAUCACCUCUAGAUCUCACAGUGCUCACUUUGCUGUCUGUGACACCAGUUUUUUUUUUGGUUCUGACAAACAAGCUGUGGAAAGGAUGAAGUGUGUUAUGAUCUUUCUGGUGUUGACGCUGGUCGUCAUCAUGGCUGAACCCGGGGAGAGUCAAUAUCCACCUUCGUGUGUCCCGUGCCGACCUCGAGGGAAAUUACUCAGACGGGAAAGAAUCCAAGAUGAAGUGGCCAAAGAUAAACUGAUGAGAUACUAUGAAGACUGAGUCUGUUCUUGAUUUUGAAGAUACAGUUUGAGCUAUAUCUUUGUGCUUUGCAAAGCAAGAAAUAAUUGUAUGAAUAAACAUGAAGCUCUUGAGAUGUAGAGAUUUUAGUCACAGCUCACAUUGAUGUUGAAAAAAGUAAAAUUGCUUGAUAGUGAAAACUAUCCUGCUGAAUAAAGCUGCAUUCCAAAACACCGUCUCUGUGUUGUGGUGUUAUUUAAGUGAACAUGUGCUUGUAAUUUUAUUGGUGAUGAUGAUCAAAAACAUUGUUUUUCAUUUAGUCAGACAUAAAUGUUUGUAUUUAGUAGAUCUAAAUAAUGAGUGUUGGUGUGAUCAGUUUAUUAAAUGAACACUCUUCCUCUUUCUUUCUCUUUCUGAAUGUACUUGUGUCUCUGAUAAAGCAGCACUUUGGAA
Molecule: long non-coding RNA, 796 nt
Filed under: Sparus aurata (gilthead seabream)
Lineage: Eukaryota; Metazoa; Chordata; Actinopteri; Spariformes; Sparidae
Description: lncRNA (ENSSAUG00010015685.1)
Source: RNAcentral